This 431-nucleotide ribosomal RNA is filed under the name uncultured bacterium. Its description in RNAcentral is "bacterial SSU rRNA". It matches the Rfam family "Bacterial small subunit ribosomal RNA", at positions 30 to 465 of the family's 1533-position model. The record is from RNAcentral.
AUUGAACGCUGGCGGCAUGCCUUACACAUGCAAGUCGAACGGCAGCGCGGGGCAACCUGGCGGCGAGUGGCGAACGGGUGAGUAAUAUAUCGGAACGUGCCCUGGAGUGGGGGAUAACGUAGCGAAAGUUACGCUAAUACCGCAUACGAUCUGAGGAUGAAAGCAGGGGACCUUCGGGCCUUGUGCUCCUGGAGCGGCCGAUAUCUGAUUAGCUAGUUGGUGGGGUAAAAGCCUACCAAGGCGACGAUCAGUAGCUGGUCUGAGAGGACGACCAGCCACACUGGAACUGAGACACGGUCCAGACUCCUACGGGAGGCAGCAGUGGGGAAUUUUGGACAAUGGGGGCAACCCUGAUCCAGCAAUGCCGCGUGUGUGAAGAAGGCCUUCGGUUGUAAGCACUUUGUCAGGAACGAAACGGUACUGGGCUAAGU